Brassica oleracea var. oleracea is the source of this 953-nucleotide long non-coding RNA. RefSeq lists it as uncharacterized. The transcript is spliced from 4 exons. The record is from RefSeq and is a predicted model, not a curated record. Lineage: Eukaryota; Viridiplantae; Streptophyta; Magnoliopsida; Brassicales; Brassicaceae.
AGCUGCUAUUGUUUCAAACUCCAAUGGAGGUUGUCUGUGUCAAAUAUUCAUGUUGAAUCUCUAUGUCGGUCUCCUUCUUGGCGUUUCGUCUCCGAUUCAUUGCGUCUGGUACGUUACUGGAUUAAGUGGUUCAUCGCCAUUAACAGCCUUUUCUACUCCUUGGACCCACGCCAUCCACGAUUACUCAUUCAAGACUUCUCAUCUCUCUUCCAGGCGGUGUAAGUUCACCUAUUAAAAGAUCGGGCAUUUUUCAUCCACCGCGGAGGUGUGACUGCUCAGUUGCUCAGUUUUUCAACUAUUAUUCAUAUAACAGCCAGCGAGAAACGUUGAGAACAAGUACGGUAAUAAAAGUGAGGUAUGGAGCUUGGGUUUUGUAGUGCUUCAAUUGCGCAACAUGAGCCAUAUCCACCUCAGAUGAAGAGAAAACAUGGAGCAGUCUUUUCAGGUUCAUGGAAGCUAUAGUUGACCAACCACCACCCACUCUUCCUUCAGAAUGUUUCUCCUUUGAGUUAUCUUCAUUCAUCUACACAUGUUUGCAAAAGGACUCGAACAGUCAAAUCUCCGCAAAGGAACUAAUGGAACAUCCUUUCUUGAAGAAGUACGACGACAACUCUGGGAUCAAUAUGGUGUCUUACUUCGUAGAUGCAUGGUCUCUGCUUCCAACGCUUAAGAAUAUCUCUGGUUAGUUAUCUGUUUAAGCUCUAGAAGGACAUCGUAUCAUCUGGUUGUUACUGUUAUCACCCACCAGUGAAAAUGUUAUCUUGAUCAUAUAGAUUUGUGCUAUUGUUGUAUUUCAAGAUUGUAGGAUAUUAGGAUAUAUGAGCAACAUGAGACUCAUUAGUGAGUUAAAUUUAUUUCAAGAUUCAUCAUCUUUAGUAUUUUUUCCAAUGUUUCAAUUUGUAUAAGCAACUCACCUUUGCUUGGAUGUUGUGUUGGGUUAUAUAGAUAAUAUA